AUAAUAUGAAUCCUACCAUGGGCACUGAAUUGGAAAAUUCCACAAAUCACACUGUUGCAUUGGUUAUACAACCCCGGUGUCACCUCCAGCAGACCAACUUUGUAUGGACAGACUCCUUAACAGAUAGACAGUUUGGCAAAUUCCGCUUUGGUAUUGGACUCAGAACAGACACCACCUCAGGCACCAACUUUGUGAAAAAGACCUUGACAUCUCUCCUGCAGGUGAGGGGUACGGAGCAGGUUUAUGUCACAGUGACUGCAGAGACCAACCGCAGUGACGUCAUGCUAGUUAUCAUCUCAUGCAAGCUUGUGAGCAAAAAGAACAAAACCAGGUCCUACUUCAUCCAGGAUGGGUGCUUAGAUAAUAAUACAGCAAAGAAAAUCUCAAGGGAGGACAACACAAUGGUCUUCACGCUGCGUUUCUCAGGAGUAACCCAAGUUCCUAGCUCCUCUGUGGUAUUUAUAAGCUGUGAAGUAAAGCUGUGCCUGAACUCCAACCAGUCACAGUCCUGUGCUUCCAACUGCCCCUCAACCUUGUUUUCCAAGCAACCAUUAGACUCACUGCUAGAAACAGAAACUUAUCAUCUGACCACCAGACUUAUCCAAGUGAUCCGGGAGCCAAAGAAAUGUAAGUAUAAAGCUAUGGACUUCACUGCAUUUCAAAUACUAUAUGUCUUAAUCCAUACAUAACAGUAUUUGUAAUGGC
Pseudophryne corroboree (corroboree frog) is the source of this 705-nucleotide long non-coding RNA. RefSeq lists it as uncharacterized. Lineage: Eukaryota; Metazoa; Chordata; Amphibia; Anura; Myobatrachidae. The transcript has 3 exons. The record is from RefSeq and is a predicted model, not a curated record.